Homo sapiens (human) is the source of this 5236-nucleotide long non-coding RNA. RefSeq lists it as uncharacterized. The record is from RefSeq and is a predicted model, not a curated record. NCBI's taxonomy places the organism in Eukaryota, Metazoa, Chordata, Mammalia, Primates, Hominidae. The transcript has 5 exons.
UGUGGUCUGUUGAAGAAAUCUUUGCUGCAAAAUUAUGAAGAUAUUCUCUUAUGUUAUCUUCCAGAAGCUAUGUUUUAUCUCAUGUAAAUUUUGAUCUAUAAUCCAUCUGGAACUGAUUUUUGAGUGUGGAGUGAAUUGUGUGUUAAGAAUCAUUUUUUCUUCUGAAUAUGCAAUUAACUCGUUAUUAUUUUUUGGAAAAGCCCUCCUUUCUCCACAGCAUUGUGUCAUCUUUGCCCUAAGUCAAGUGUUAGUAGUGGUGACAAUCUGCUGCUGGACUCUAUUUUGCCCUGAUUUAAUUGUCUAUCCAAGUGCCAAUGCCAUACUCUCUUAAUUUAUGUAAUGUCUUCAAAUUUUGUUCUUUUUAGAAUAGCUUGGCUAAUUGAGACUCUUUGCAUUCCAUUAGUCUUAAAAUCUGAUUGCCCAUUUUUACAAAAAUAUAAACAAAACAAAACACUUUCUAGAAUUUUUACAGGAAUUGCAUUAAACACAUAAGCCAAUUUGCAGAAAACUGAAAUCUAUUGAAUACUGAGUCUUCCAAUCUAAACACUUGGUAUAUUAGUAACCUCUCAGUUUUUGUAGGUCUCUUUAGUGCUUCUCACAAUAAUUUAUUGAUUUGCAUAUUUAGAACUUUUAUGUAUUUUGUCAUUUCCUACAUAUUUUAUUAUGCUAUUUUAAAUGUGAGUUUUUAGUUUUAUUUCUUAUUGGUGGUACAUAUAAAUACCUUUGCUUUUUAAAUACUGUUCCUCUGUGCAAAGACAUUGCUUAAGUUGUACUGCUUUUAGUAAUUUAUCUGUAUUUACGUUGGGCUUUUUAAUGUAAAAACAUGUAAACCUUAAAUAAAAGUUUUAUUUCUUUAUUUUCCAUUUUUGUACUUUCUUCCUUCCUUUUUCCUUCCUUACCUCCUUCUCCCCACUUUCUGUCACUUUUCCAUCUCUCUUCUCCUUGUUCUUCCUCUUCUCUUGCUCUCUCUUUUUCUCUCUCUGUAUCUCUCUCCCUGUCCCUUCCUUCUUUUUCAUUUUUUUUUUGUUUUUUGCCAUAUUGUACUAGUAGAAACCUUCAAAAUGAUAAUGAAUACAAAUGGUAAUAGGGUACAUUCUUAUCUUAUUCCCAGUCCCAUGAUGAAAACUUUUAAUACUAUAGCAUUAAAUAUAAUGUUUAUUGUAGAUAUUAUUUCUACAAUAGACAUCAUCUACAAUGAUUAGAUAUCUCUUCUAAUCAUAAUUUUCUAAGAUAAUUUAAUUAUGGUCUGUAAUCAUUUCCAAUGCUUUUCCUGCAUCUUUUGAGGUCUUCAUAGAAUUUUCCUUUUUAUUUUGCUAAUGUGAUGAAUUACUUUAAUUUUAUAAUAUUAAAGCAACCUUGCUUUCUGGAAUAAGUUCAAGUUUUUUGUAAUAUAGUUUUUAAAGUAUAUACAUUUGAAUUUUAUUUGUUCGUAGUUUUACAAACAUUGCAUUAUAUUUAUAAAAUAUAUUGACUUGUAAUUUUCCUUUCUUAUAAUGAACUAGUCAAGUUUUAGUAUCAAGCUUUCAUUAGCCUUAAAAAAUAAUUAGAAAAAUUUUACUUAUGUUUUUUAGACUAGUUUGCAUGGAUGGUACUAUCUUUCUUAAGCUGCUUUGAAGAAAUAACUAUUACAUUGUCUGGUUCUUACAUUUCUUUGAUAUUGUUGUAAAUUUUUAGUUCCAGUUUCAAUUUGUUGUAAGCUCUUUAUAGUAUUUUUAUAUUUUAUAAUAAAAUCUGUAAAAUAAAUCUACCUGUUUGUUUCUGAUGUUAGUAAUUAGUACCUCCUUCCAUAUGUAAUUUCAGUUGUUCAUUUUUAUAUGUAGGGUAUCAGUUGACUUUCGUAUAUUGACUUUUUAUCUUGUGAAAUUUCAAUGCUUACGUAUUAAUUCCAAGAUUUUUUUUUGUUGAUUCUAUAGAAUGCUUUUCCACAGGCAAUCAUGUCUUCUAUGAAUAAAGACAGUUUUAUUUUUUUCUUCUCAACUAACAUGUAUUUAUUUCAUUUUCUUGUUUUAUUGCACUAGCUAUGACCUUCACUGCAAUGUUGAAUGGAAGUGGCAAGAAAGGAUAUCCUUGUUGUGUUCCUGAUCUCAGGAGAAAGGCAUUCAGUUUCUUACCAGCUUCCAUUGCAACUUCUACAGAAAGUUCAGGAAAAUAACGACUUUCAACAUUAUAGAAUUUCAAGUUAGAAGUGAUCAUUUUCAACUGAUGAAUCUCAUUGAGGAAGAUGAGGCAUCAAGAGGCUCUUCCACUCUAUUUGCUGCUUUCCAACUCAUGGUUUAAGGAUCUAAUCUCCAACAGACUAUGGAAAUGGUGUCAGACAAAAAGCAAAUUCGAGUGAUUUUCUUAUUCAAUUUAAAAAUGGGUCAUAAAGCAGCAGAGACAACUCGCAAUAUCAACAACGCAUUUGGCCAAGGAACUGCUAACAAAUGUACAGUGGUAGCUCAAGAAGUUUUGCAGAGGAGACGAGAGCCUUGAAGAUGAGGAGCAUAGUGACCAGCCAUCAGAAGUUAACAACUGCCAACUGAGAGCAAUUAUUGAAGCUGAUCCUCUUACAACCACACAAGAAGUUGCCAAAGAGCUUGACGUCGACCAUUCCAGGGUCGCUUGGCAUUUGAAGCAAAUUGGAAAGGUGAAAAAGCUCAAUAAGUGGGUGCUUCAUGAGCUGAGUGAAAAUUUAAAAAAAUCAUCAUUUUGAAGUGUUGUCUUCCCUUAUUCUAUGCAACAACGAUGGACCAUGUCUUGAUAGGAUUGUGACGUGUGACGAAAAGUGGGUUUUAUAUGACAACCAGUGAUGACCAGCUCUGUGGCUGGACCGGGAAGAAGCUCCAAAGCACUUCCCAAAUCCAAACUUGCACCAAAAAGAAGGUCAUGGUCACUGGUAGUCUGCUGAUGGUCUGAUCCGCUACAGCUUUCUGAAUCCUGGUGAAACCAUUAUAUCUGAGGACUAUGCUCAGCAAAUCUAUGAGAUGCACCAAAAACUGCCACACCUGCAACUGGCAUUGGUCAAUAGAAAGGGCCCAAUUCUUCUCCAUGACAACGCCCAACCACACGUCGCACAACCAAUGCUUCAAAAGUUCAAUGCAUUGGGCUACCAAGUUUUGGCUCAUCCUUCAUAUUCACCUGACCUCUCAUCAACAGACUACCACUUCUUCAAGCAUCUCCACAACUUUUUGCAGGUGUUGGGUUACAUCCAGAUGGAAAGCAAACAAAAAUUCUCACCCUCAUGGAUCUCACAUUCUACAGGAAGGAAAGAGAAGAUAAACAAUAAGAACACUCAUUAUUUGGCUCUCUGUUUGUCUGUUAUUGGUGUAUAAGAAUGCUUGUGAUUUUUGCACAUUGAUUUUGUAUCCUAAGACUUUGUUGAAGUUGCUUAUCAGCUUAAGGAGAUUUUGGGCUGCGACGAUGGGGUUUUCUAGAUAUACAAUCAUGUCAUCUGCAAACAGGGACAAUUUGACUUCCUCCCAUUCACAAUUGCUUCAAAGAGAAUAAAAUACCUAGGAAUCCAACUUACAAUGGAUGUGAAGGACCUCUUCAAGAAGAACUACAAACCACUGCUCAAUGAAAUAAAAGGGGACACAAACAAACGGAAGAACAUUCCAUGCUCAUGGAUAGGAAUAAUCAAUAUCAUGAAAAUGGCCAUACUGCCAGAGGUAAUUUAUAGAUUCAAUGCCAUCCCCAUCAAGCUACCAAUGACUUUCUUCACAGAAUUGGAAAAAACUACUUUAAAGUUCAUAUGGAACCAAAAAAGAGCUCGCAUUGCUGAGUCAAUCCUAAGCCAAAAGAACAAAGCUGGAGGCAUCACACUACCUGACUUCAAACUAUACUACAAGACUACAGUAACCAAAACAGCAUGGUACUGGUACCAAAACAGAGAUAUCGACCAAUGGAACAGAACAGAGCCCUCAGAAAUAAUACCACACAUCUACAACUAUCUGAUCUUUGACAAACCUGACAAAAACAAGAAAUGGGGAAAGGAUACCCUAUUUAACAAAUGGUGCUGGGAAAACUGGCUAGCCAUAUGUAGAAAGCUGAAACUGGAUCCCUUCCUUACACCUUAUACAAAAAUUAAUUCAAGAUGGAUUAAAGACUUAAAUAUGAGACCUAAAACCAUAAAAACCCCAGAAGAAGACCUAGGCAUUACCAUUCAGGACAUAGGCAUGGGCAAGGACUUCAUGUCUAAAACACCAAAAGCAAUGGCAACAAAAGCCAAAAUUGACAAAUGGGAUCUAAUUAAACUAAAGAGCUUCUGCACAGCAAAGGGAACUACCAUCAGAGUGAACAGGCAACCUACAGAAUGGGAGAAAAUUUUUGCAGUCUACUCAUCUGAUAAAGUGCUAAUAUCCAGAAUCUACAAAGAACUCAUACAAAUUUACAAGAAAAAAACAAACAACCCCAGUAAAAAGUGGGUGAAGGAUAUGAACAGACACUUCUCAAAAGAAGACAUUUAUGCAGCCAACAGACACAGGAAAAAAUGCUCACCAUCACUGGCCAUCAGAGAAAUGCAAAUCAAAACCACAAUGAGAUAUCAUCUCACACCAGUUAGAAUAGCGACCAUUAAAAAGUCAGGAAACAACAGGUGCUGGAGAGGAUGUAGAAAAAUAGGAACACUUUUACACUGUUGGUGGGACUGUAAACUAGUUCAGCCAUUGUGGAAGUCAGUGUGGCGAUUCCUCAGGGAUCUAGAACUAGAAAUACCAUUUGACCCAGCCAUCCCAUUACUGGGUAUAUACCCAAAGGAUUACAAAACAUGCUGCUAUAAAGACACAUGCACACAUAUGUUUAUUGCGGCACUAUUCACAAUAGCAAAGACUUGGAACCAAGCCAAAUGUCCAACAAUGAUAGACUGGAUUAAGAAAAUGUGGCACAUAUACACCAUGGAAUACUAUGCAGCCAUAAAAAAUGAUGAGUUCAUGUCCUUUGUAGAGACAUGGAUGAAGCUGGAAACCAUCAUUCUCAGCAAACUAUCGCAAAGACAGAAAACCAAACACCGCAUGUUCUCACUCAUAGGUGGGAAUUGAACAAUGAGAACACUUGGACACAGGUAGGGAAACAUCACACACUGCGGCCUGUUGUGGGGUGGGGGGAGGGGGGAGGGAUAGCAUUAGGAGAUGUACCUAAUGUAAAUGACGAGUUAAUGGGUGCAGCACACCAACAUGGCACAUGUAUACAUAUGUAACAAACCUGCAUUUUGUGCACAUGUACCCUAGAACUUAAAGUAUAAUAAAAAAAAUUAAAAAAA